AUCUUGUGAACAAGUAUCAAUGAAAGACAAACUUCGUAUAAUCUUCAGACUGAGGACAGUGGUGAGAUGAAAGACGUGAACUGGUAUCCGAUGUUAAUACACAUGCAUGCUCUGCUGUAAAAUCGUUUUGGUAUGUGAUUUCUUGGUUGGAUCUUGAGUACUUGUCAUGGCUCUUGAUUUAUUUUGGAGUGUUCACCAUCAGAUUAGAAGUCAAAUAGUGAUACCACCAGGCAUAGUUGAAAGGAAAUGUCCAUACACAGUCUUGGAGUACAUAGUGGUAGAGACAUGGCAGUCCAUUACAGAUUUUGACUGAAUUAAAGCUUCUUAAAGCUCCAUGUCUUGUGUAAACUGUCUGACUGAAUGUUUGUAUUCUAAUAAAAACUAAGGUUGAAGACACUUCAAAGAUAUAUGUCAGUGUAGAAAUGUUAUUUAAACAAAAUAUCUGUCUUUGUUAGAAAUAAAUAACCUGUCUUUAUUAGAAAUAAUUAACCUGUCAUUUGUAACUUUGUAUUAACUUAAUUAUUCAAAGAUAAUUUAUCUUCUGCAAAUGGCUGCCCAAAACAGUUUCAACCAGGCAUCAUGUAGUUUCAAAACAGUUAAGAUAAAUUUGUUAUAAAUAGACUUGUAAAGUAACAGGAAUGGUAAAAAGAUAAAUGUUCAGCAUUAAAAUGUUUCUAUCUUGAUUGAGCUUCAUUUCAUAUUAUCACCAUAAUCACUGCAAUUGUAAAAGUAAUGUAAUCUUUAACCAUUAUUUAAAUAUCAUAAAAAUCAUCUCAAAGAAAAACUUGUUUCUGAGGCAAGAUGUGUAAAAUUCCUUCCAGUUAUAGCCUUUCACUGCUCUUAGAAAAGCCAUGCUUUGCAUUGUACAUGGCAGGUAGUAAUACCAGAGUAAACAAUAUUAAUGCAAUUCAUCUGUGUUGAGUAUUCUGUAGCAAAACACUAGCUUGCUAGCCCUUGUAAGCCCAAGUCUCUCUCUUAAUUGGAGAAGACUUGCAAUUCUGCAUUCCUUGAAGAUUUUAGUAUCAGAGGGGUAGUUAUUACAUACCAUAUACUUCUUUGGGUUUCAAAUUACCUGUUUUAUAAUGUAUUGAACCUGUUGACAUUUGACCAAAAGUGAAUUAUCUAUACAAUACAUGCAAAACUUAGGGUUUGCACUUGAUACAAAACAAUUACAUCACUGAUACAUUAAUAUACCCAUUGGAACUGUUUCAAAAUUGUCAAU
This is a long non-coding RNA of Ruditapes philippinarum (Manila clam), 1222 nucleotides long. RefSeq lists it as uncharacterized. NCBI's taxonomy places the organism in Eukaryota, Metazoa, Mollusca, Bivalvia, Venerida, Veneridae. The transcript has 3 exons. The record is from RefSeq and is a predicted model, not a curated record.